RNAcentral lists this transfer RNA (67 nucleotides) under Terebellides stroemii. Its description in RNAcentral is "tRNA-Gly". The record is from RNAcentral. Lineage: Eukaryota; Metazoa; Annelida; Polychaeta; Terebellida; Trichobranchidae.
GCUUUCUUAGUAUACAAAGUACAUAUGCCUUCCAAGCAAAAAGAUUAAGACAUUCUUAAAGAAAGUA